Long non-coding RNA from Cyprinus carpio (common carp), 642 nucleotides. RefSeq lists it as uncharacterized. The record is from RefSeq and is a predicted model, not a curated record. NCBI's taxonomy places the organism in Eukaryota, Metazoa, Chordata, Actinopteri, Cypriniformes, Cyprinidae. The transcript is spliced from 3 exons.
GUGAGUGACGGCGUGAGCGUCCAGCAUCAUCCUGUGUUACUGAUGGAGAGCUACACCUGUGACGGAGGCUCGUAUCUGUCCCCGUCUCCACCCAAAGUCACGUCCUCCGUCCUCUACCACAAAGAGCAGGAGCUGCAGAGUCAGAGCAGCACGUUCAUCACAGCGAGCAAGACUUCAGGUCUGUUAGGCCUCUCGACUCUGGUCUGAAUCAAACGCUUCAGAUCACUGUGAAUCCUUCAGUGUCUGGACUGUGAAUGCUGGACGUGUUCGGACAGACACAGAUCAAAUGCACUGAAACAUUUCAUCAUAUCAUCUUUUUCAAAGACUGAUAAUCGUCCAGAGCCGCGCUGAUGAAUAUGAACUCUGACUGCAGUGCAGGAUAAAAGUCCUCAGCAGUGCGUGACAGGACCCAGAUCACAGAUCUACAUUAAAUCAGCUGCUUUAUUUUUACUCCUUUCAUUCUGAGACUGCAGAUCCUUCACCUCUCGACAUCUCACUCAGUAUUUCUGAUUGUACAAACAGUUGAAUGAAUUGAGUUCUGGCGCUACUAAUAAAAUCCAGACAGGAUUGCAUUGUUAAUAAGGAUUGAGUCUGACUUUUUACUAUGAAAAUAAAAAUAAAACAACAGUAAUUAAAAUCAAA